UUCCCUUUGAGUGUAUUAUAAUUUUGUGAUAAAAAUUUCAAGGAGAAAAAAAAAAAAACACACAACCUCCUUCCUCUGCCUCUUUCCUUCGGGGAGGGGAAAAGCGAGGGAGGGGGGGCUGGAGAUCUGUCUCCAGACAGACAGAAAAGAAAGAGGAGCAAAUUAAACACCGAGUUGCCAAAACCAGGAUAUUAGGUUUCAGCCCAGAGAGCUAUUGGCUAAGGCUGUGUUUUUUUUUUGGGGGGGGGGGGGGGUUUGUGGGUGGGUGAUGGUGGUGGUGGGUGGAUGUUUAAUGGACACGGAGAAAAGGGGAAUCGGGUGUUUAUGCCUUUCCCAGCGCCGCCGGGGCUCCGGGAAGACCAAGUUCAGUGUCUCGGGCGGGGGCGCAGGCGGGCAGGGGGCGGCGAGGCCGGGCCGGGGGCACCUCGGCGGGGUGGGGGCCCGGCGCCUUUCUUUUUCCUUUUUUUUUUUUUUUUCUUUUCCGCGGAUGCAAAUUUCUGGAGCGGGGAGAGGGAGAGCCCGGGAAGGGGGUGGCGUGGCGGUUGGUGGUGGGGAGGGGAGGGGAGGGAAGCCUUUUAAUGACUCAUUGAUUGAGCCGGUUUAAAAUUAGUUGUGUGCGCGAGCGUGAGUGUGUUUUCCGCCCCCCGGAGCCGCCGGGAGCCGGGAAGGAGGGAGCGGGGCUCGGCGAGGGGAAGACGGCGCGGCGGGGCCGCGAGCAGGGGGCAGGGAGGGCCUGGAGUGACGGCGGGCGAGGAAGAAAAAUAAGCUUUUCCAAUCUCCACCCCUCUGUUUUCCCCCCCUCGUUUCUUUUCUCUCUCGGAAGCUCUAGGGUGUGAAUCAUAUUUUCUUUCUUCUCGGCAAAAUGGACCCCGCGUCUGGGGAGGGGGAGGGGAGAGGGUGGGGAGGGAGGCGGCGGGGACGAGGUUUAUUUUUCAUCCUGGCUUCCUCCUUCCCGCCGCAUCUGCCGGAGGCCGCGGCGAGCAGAGCGGGUCCGGGCUGCGGCAGGGAGAGCUCGGGGCCGGCGGGUCGCCCCGGCCCGGCUCCCGCUCCCGCUCCCGCUCCGAGCCCGCGGCGGCGGCGGCGCGCACCUGCCGGCGGGACUGCCCCUUCCCAGCCGCCUCGCUGACUUCCCGAAGCUCCGCCGAGGAUCCGCGGCCGGGUCGGGGCGAGCCCCCAGCCGCGCGGAGGACCCCGCGGCCCAGCCAGGCGCCUCCUGCGAGGCCCGCGCUGUCCGCCGCGCCGGCCAGAAGAGAUGAGCGGCUGGGGCGGCGCUUUUUUGGCCGAGAGCGCGCGGGCCUGACGCUGUUCGCGCCCCCCGAGUCGCCGCGAAUGCCGGAUUUUGCUUGGGUAGGGGGGUGCAGUUGGAAGGCGCUAAGAUGGCGCUGGGCCUGGCCUGUCGCCAGGGCUGGUGGCGCAGUUGCUCGGCGGGCGCCAUCUUUCUCGCGGCGCGGGCGGCGCCCUCCGAGGACAUUUUGCUGACCAGGGCGCCGCGAGGCCGGGGGCCAGCGGGAGCCGGGAGCAGGGUGCUGAAUUCUGGAGAUGGGGCCGGAGUCGCCCGGCCUGCUCCUUCCCCAAGCCCCCAGACCCAAAAGACGAGGCCGGCUUGGAGCGGGAAGGGCUGGGGCCAACUUCUUCCUCCUUCCCACUUGUGAUGGAAGAAGGGGGCUGAGGGUCGAGCCUCGAGACUGAUGGGUUCCCUCCCUAUUUGACCCCGCACCCCCACUGCCCCCAGUCAAAAUUGGAGGUGAGGAGCUCUAGCCAUCUUCUCUCCUGCUGCCUGAGAGUGGACGCCUUUGUCUUCCGUGGCCCGGCACGGGGCAGGGCAUUGAGGCUUUGCCUUCAUCCUCCUCCAGUUAUUGUUGAAAGUAGAGUCCAUUUAGAUUACAAAAGUAAAAAAAAGAGUCGAGGACGGUGUGUAUGCCCUCCGGUAACAUGGUUCUCUACGGGUACCCUACUAUUCGUUUCUUACUUUAAAACAACCCUGGGGAGACAUUUACUAGUUGUCAGAUUGUGGGAAGGCAAUGGGUUCCAGUUUUUUGAAACUUCUUGUUGUCUUUUAUAUUACUUCAAAUGGCAGUGAAUCAAAACAGUUUCUUAGGACUCUGAUCUUUCAAUAUGCUUUAAAACACUCUGAAAGUCUUCCUUUUCUAAAAAAGCAUCCGUCUAAAGUAUCUGUUGGUAGUAUCUAUUAGAGAUGGGGGAGGGGUUUUAAACUUUUACAUUGUUACUGACAAGAGGAGGGGAAAGGUCUGUAAAGCUCUGAUCUCUCUAGAAAUCCACAGACAUGGAAAGUAAGUAGUUAAUUUCUAAGAGAGGAAAGUAACACAGUGGUGCCACUAGGUGUGUCCUUGUGUUUAUAAAUACACAGUGGAUAUUUUAGACCAUUUAAAAAGACCGACCAUAUAUUGAACACCUUCUGUAUGCCAGGAACUGUGCUUGGUGCUUUGUAUAAUUUCUGUUUUAUCAGUCCUGGAAGAUUGAUUUUAUGAUUUGUGUACUGGGGAAUGGAUGAACGUUCAUAGAAAUACAGUAAUUAAUUGUUCGAGAUCUUGCUGUUUUAAGAGGUAAAAUUGGCAUUGGAUGAUAAAAGCUGUGUUCUUCCCUCUACACCUAUGGUUUCCAAAUCUGAGCAUCAGAAUUAACUGGGGAGAUGUUUUUGAAUAUAGAUUUGUAACGUCAUCUCUUCCACCAUCAUUUGCUAGGGCCAAUUGGGUCAUUUAAUAAUGUCUCAGGCAAUCCAACUUCUUGAUGUUCAAUAUUGAAAUUCUGGCCCACCCUGUACCCGCUGCAUCUGAAGAUCUAGUAUUCCAAAGCUCUCCAGGAGAUUCCAGUGUGACAUAGAUACACAUUUGGGCUGUCUUGUACUGUACUUGCACUGUUCUGCUGGCUCUUUUUUGAAUUGGAACAUGAGAAUUGAGGUCCAUAUCAUUUUGAGUUUCAGCAGUUUUUUGCUCAUGUUAGUCUCAUUUUUAUUUUUCCUCUUCCAGAUGCCAUUUAUCAAAUAG
Sapajus apella (tufted capuchin) is the source of this 3005-nucleotide RNA transcript. It is a transcript of the gene named eukaryotic translation initiation factor 3 subunit A-like, with no coding region annotated. NCBI's taxonomy places the organism in Eukaryota, Metazoa, Chordata, Mammalia, Primates, Cebidae. The record is from RefSeq and is a predicted model, not a curated record. The transcript has a single exon.